Molecule: ribosomal RNA, 212 nt
Filed under: uncultured bacterium
Lineage: Bacteria
Description: partial 16S ribosomal RNA
Rfam family: Bacterial small subunit ribosomal RNA
Source: RNAcentral
GGAGGAUGCAAGGCGUUAAUCCGGAAUGAUUGGGCGUAAAGCGUCCGCAGGUGGCUAUGUAAGUCUGCUGUUAAAAGAGUGACGGCUCAACCUCAUAAGGAGCAGUGGAAACUACAUGGCUAGGAGUGCGUUCGGGGCGAGAGGGAAGUUCCUGGAUGUAGCGGUGAAAUGCGUAGAUAGUCAGGAGGAACACCGAGUGGCGAAGGCAGAUC